UGUUUCGGCUAGGGGGCCAUCCCGGCUUACCAACCCGAUGCAAACUGCGAAUACCGGAGAAUGUUAUCACGGGAGACACACGGCGGGUGCUAACGUCCGUCGUGAAGAGGGAAACAACCCAGACCGCCAGCUAAGGUCCCAAAGUCAUGGUUAAGUGGGAAACGAUGUGGGAAGGCCCAGACAGCCAGGAUGUUGGCUUAGAAGCAGCCAUCAUUUAAAGAAAGCGUAAUAGCUCACUGGUCGAGUCGGCCUGCGCGGAAGAUGUAACGGGGCUAAACCAUGCACCGAAGCUGCGGCAGCGACACUGUGUGUUGUUGGGUAGGGGAGCGUUCUGUAAGCCUGCGAAGGUGUCCCGUGAGGGAUGCUGGAGGUAUCAGAAGUGCGAAUGCUG
This 391-nucleotide ribosomal RNA is filed under the name Salmonella enterica subsp. enterica serovar Kentucky. Its description in RNAcentral is "partial 23S ribosomal RNA". It matches the Rfam family "Bacterial large subunit ribosomal RNA", at positions 911 to 1299 of the family's 2925-position model. Lineage: Bacteria; Pseudomonadati; Pseudomonadota; Gammaproteobacteria; Enterobacterales; Enterobacteriaceae. The record is from RNAcentral.